Molecule: unclassified non-coding RNA, 323 nt
Filed under: Hevea brasiliensis (rubber tree)
Lineage: Eukaryota; Viridiplantae; Streptophyta; Magnoliopsida; Malpighiales; Euphorbiaceae
Source: RNAcentral
AUAUCAAUACCAGUAUAUUGAGUGUACUUCUUGGAAUGAUGAAUAUGUGUGUGAGAUUUCUCAUGGACCUGAUUGAAGGAUGAAUGAAUUUGCAACAUCCACAAAAAUUUUGGUUAUUAUAAGAGAGGUAAUUCCAUACUUUAGACUAUUUGAGUUAUUGGUAGUGUGAAUGGAUCUAAAUAAUGAGUGGCAUGUUUUGUAAAAGCCUGAAGAAUCUAUAAUGUGGAGGGUUUUCUCACAUAAAUACUUGCUGAUUCAUUAAACUAGUUACUCGGCUGGUAAUGAGGGCAUUAUGAAUAUAUUGGGACUUACUCUUACGCAGG